This 258-nucleotide ribosomal RNA is filed under the name uncultured bacterium. Its description in RNAcentral is "partial 16S ribosomal RNA". It matches the Rfam family "Bacterial small subunit ribosomal RNA", at positions 793 to 1055 of the family's 1533-position model. The record is from RNAcentral.
GUCCACGCCGUAAACGAUGCUAACUCGUUUUUGGGCUUUAGGGUUCAGAGACCAAGCGAAAGUGAUAAGUUAGCCACCUGGGGAGUACGCUCGCAAGAGUGAAACUCAAAAGGAAUUGACGGGGGCCCGCACAAGCGGUGGAUUAUGUGGUUUAAUUCGAUGAUACGCGAGGAACCUUACCAAGACUUAAAUGGGAAUUGACAGUUUUAGAAAUAGAACUUUCUUCGGACAAUUUUCAAGGUGCUGCAUGGUUGUCGU